Molecule: long non-coding RNA, 3040 nt
Organism: Lolium rigidum
Lineage: Eukaryota; Viridiplantae; Streptophyta; Magnoliopsida; Poales; Poaceae
Exons: 3
Source: RefSeq, a predicted model, not a curated record
CCGCGCGGGUGUGCGGCUGGGUCGACGGCGGAGAGCGUCCCGCACGAGGUGGGCUGGGAUUUCAUCGGCGGAGAACAUCCCACACGAGAGGGCGGGCAAGCUCAUCGGCGGAGGGCUUCUCUGCGCUGGGUGAUUAUAAUUUCGCCGCAGUGGACCUCCUGUGCGCAAGGCCUUCAGAGAUUGACAGCGUAGGGGUGGUGGGAGUCAGAGCUGCUAAUACAGCAUGUUCUAGGUCCUGUUUAUUCCUUUUUUGUUCGGCGGCCGAGAGAGGCUGUACGCGAGGAUGUGAAGCUCAGCGGCGGAGAGCUAUCGCCUGCGAGGGCGUGGAGCUCGAUGGUGGCAGAGGAGCGAGUUUGACGAGACUGCAAGUUGGAUCCAAUUUUUUCUCGGGUGACUAGAUCAAGAAUAUGAGGUAAUCUCCUACAAAAAUCCCAAAUCAUGGUUUGAAUUUCAUAUGGUAGGAUCAUCUACAAAGUCACCAGAAAUUAGGUAGUUUAUAUUUCAUAUGGGUGUGCCGAUUUUGUCAUGUGAUAUUCCUGCUGCAUUUUCUGUGAGGAGAUUGCGUGCAUCGCAAACUCAUAGGGCAUGGAAACACAAUUUUUCUGUGUGGUAAUCGGCCUUAACCAGGAGCACGCCCCUGCCGUGUUCUGCCUGAAUGGAUCGAGCUGCAAAAGGGGUUGCUAAUGUACGUGCUAUGUACGUUGCUAGUACAUCUUAAUUGAAACCAAAAUACAACUACUAUAGUACAUCUAGUUUCUGGUGAAAUUUAUUUGCUAGCUAGUAGCUACCUAGAUGAAUCUGUCCCAGCGAUUGCACUUCGCAUCUAGUUUAUGUUGACAGUUUGCAGUGAAUGAUGCAAAAUGCCCGUGAUGUCUGGCAUUUUGAAAUUCAUUCAUCAAUCGGGUAACGAGUCAUACUAUCCUUCAGCUGCAACAUUUCGUACUGAUCUCCAUUUCUGAUCAAUUUUUUUUUUUGGAGACAACUCAUUAUUUAAACCUGGUGUUCUAUCAUUAUUAUCCAUGAGGUUCUCGCGCUAAAUUUGUAUUAUGACCUAUAGUAUGCACCACUAUUAAGUUACAACCCUGAAUGAAAAAGCUAUGUGUUCAAGAUUGUGUUGGACGUGAUAUUUGAUUCGCCAAGUCGCAACACUCCGAUCUUCACUUAUGUAUGUGACAUAAAAAAUUGGAGCAACAUACACAUGUUGGAUAAUUUGGGUUAGUUAAGUUGUAUUGUCAAAAUGCUUAAGUUGGCUACCAAAAUAAAUUAAGUUGGUUCUACAACAUGCUAAUGUUGUGUUUUAUAGUCUAGGCCGUUUUCUUUUUUAUUUUGGAGUAAUAUGCACAAGUUUGCUACUUUGGGUUAAUUAAGUUGUAUGUCAACAUGCUUAAGUUGACUACGGAAAUGUAUUAAGUUGGCUUUACCACCAUGCUUCAGUCUGCUUCUUCUGAAUAUUGCUUGUGUGUUUUUACUGUUAAUUGCUCUGUUUGUGCUCCAACUUAUUUUGGGUCGUCGCUAUCCUAAAUCACUGGACACACAAGUGCUUCAAUUCUGCAUUGCCGCAAACACGUCCACCUGUAAGUAUCACUUUACAUUCAUGAUAAUGCAUAUCAUUGGUCUGACUGUAGAAUGGACAUCUUAUAUUGUUUAGCUGUCACAUGUUUCUAUUUCAUUGGCGAAGUGAGUCCUUUCACUAUAUGUAUAGAUGAAUUGUUUUCUCAAGGGGUCUCUAUAUGUGAAGUGAGCUGAAUCUUCAUAAAAUACCACAGAUAUGUAAAGGGUGACCAUCCUACUAUAUGUUCACAAUCCUAUAAAAUUUUCGACCGUUGAACUGACCCAUUCUGCAAUGUCGGUCUUCUUGUUCUUCUACUGGUGGUCACCUGCUCGAGCUGCUGCCGACUGCGUCAAGGCACAUCCCACCAAAGCGGGGAAACAUCGGGGCAGAGGCCACCGCAGGGGGAGAUGACGAUGCAACGAUCACGCCGACCAGGCAAACGAUUUUGGUUGCUUAUCCCAUGUUCAAAUAACCUAGUUGUUUUCACCCUUUUUGUACAAGUUUGUCUAACCAUGGAUUCUACCCCCGUAGCCGAAUUCCCAGAAUUAGUAGAAUAUUAGUAUCAAGUUGAUAUAGCAAAAUUACCUUAGUUGUUUAUUAUGUAUAUCCUAGGAUUGAUUAGGUGUGCUUUUUUUUGGGCGUUUUUAUGCUAAUUUGCAUACUAUAUGCUAUUUUUUAAGUGGUAGAUUGGUGAGAUAUCACAGUGUUGUUGUUUUGCGUGUAAUACAUAGUUGUGUACUGCUUGUGGUUAAGUUGUCCAUCGAUUGCCUGUUAAGUUGCAUCCUGAUUGCAAGUUGUCCACUUUUUUAGUAGUUGCUUAAGAUAAUGUCUAUUCAUCGGGAUGUUCUUCUAUUGUUCUAAGUUGUUGCAUACAUUACACUUGUUGUUCCGCAACACACACCUAAUUGCAUUUCUAUCUACUUGUGGUAUCCAUUUGGCUUUUCUCUCUCUUUUGAAUUAUGCAUUUGGCCUUCGUAGAUUCAUGAUGCUACCUAAGUUGCUUAUCAUGUUUCAUUAAAUUGAUUAUCCACUUUAGAUUAAGUUGUUCUACACUUUCUCGUGAGUUGCAGUUUGCAGCCCACCAAGUUGUACGUACCAGUCCAACUAAGUUGCUUCAUCUUGCAACUUGGUUUAUGAACUUACGCAAAUAUAGUUUAAUGGAGAUCUGCAUGAGGGGAAUAAGAGAGAGUGCUGGGAGGAAGCCUCACGUGGUCCUGGAGUUGAGCCUGGCUAGCGAUGUACUAGCACGCGAGGGAUGGUCCAGGACGCGCGGGAAUCCAAUCGGGAAAUCCGGGCAUGCGGGAGUCUAGCCGGCGGCGUGCGUUGAGUGCUAGGUUGGAUUAGCUAGCACUCGGAUGCUGGGUUAGACAAACCAGCACCGGAUGCUAGCUAGCCGUGUCCAAUAAAAAAUAAAUCACCAGAAAUGCAGACAACAGCGAUGCCGCGACGACGCCAGGACACAGACAGUGGGGUUGUGCUCCAUUCAAA